This 543-nucleotide ribosomal RNA is filed under the name uncultured Glomeromycotina. Its description in RNAcentral is "SSU rRNA". It matches the Rfam family "Eukaryotic small subunit ribosomal RNA", at positions 552 to 1096 of the family's 1831-position model. The record is from RNAcentral. Lineage: Eukaryota; Fungi; Glomeromycota.
AGGGCAAGUCUGGUGCCAGCAGCCGCGGUAAUUCCAGCUCCAAUAGCGUAUAUUAAAGUUGUUGCAGUUAAAAAGCUCGUAGUUGAAUUUCGGGGUUAGUAGGUUGGUCAUGCCACUGGUAUGUACUGAUCUUACUGAUUCCUCCUUCCUGAUGAACCGUAAUGCCAUUAAUUUGGUGUUGCGGGGAGACUGGACUGUUACUUUGAAAAAAUUAGAGUGUUUAAAGCAGGCUAACGCUUGAAUACAUUAGCAUGGAAUAAUGAAAUAGGACGUUCGAUCCUAUUUUGUUGGUUUUUAGGAUUGACGUAAUGAUUAAUAGGGAUAGUUGGGGGCAUUAGUAUUCAAUUGUCAGAGGUGAAAUUCUUGGAUUUAUUGAAGACUAACUACUGCGAAAGCAUUUGCCAAGGAUGUUUUCAUCAAUCAAGAACGAAAGUUAGGGGAUCGAAGACGAUCAGAUACCGUCGUAGUCUUAACCAUAAACUAUGCCGACUAGGGAUCGGAUGAUGUUAAUUUUUUAAUGACUCAUUCGGCGCCUUACGGGAA